RNAcentral lists this long non-coding RNA (3171 nucleotides) under Gallus gallus (chicken). The record is from RNAcentral. Lineage: Eukaryota; Metazoa; Chordata; Aves; Galliformes; Phasianidae.
GUUUGGUUAUAAGUCUUAAGCACCUUGAUGAAAUUAGCACAUUCUCUCAGAAUAUCUUUUCCAGCCCACUUACACUCAUCCCUUCGGGAAUGAGAUACAGGCCAAACAAUCUUUUGAUAUUCCUUGAUGUUAACCAGGUUGAAAGAAAAUAUGUGGUCUUUUGCUCCAACAUACAGCCGACUUCGUUCUUCAUCCAAGAGGAAAGUAUGGUAACUGGAACUAUUAGCUAGUCCAUUGAAAUUGACUAUAUUAUUGGACUCCAACAUUUCUUUAUAGGAUAAUUUGAGUCUUGGCACGUUAUUCUUCACAUGCUGGCAGUUCACUCUUCCUGCUAGUAAUACUCCCAAGGAAAGCAAGGCAAUCCCCCUGAGCCAGCCCAUGCUGCAGCAGCCACUGUAGGGUCCCUGCGAGCCGGAGCCGCGGCGCUCCCCGUCCUGCCGGGCGCCGCCGGGGAACUUCAGGCAACCUGGGGAGCGGAGGAUGACUGCACCCUGCAGUGAGAUACCCAGCUGAAUGUAGGACGUGGGUCUGGGGCCAGUGCUGUUCUUGCCCAAGCAGGUCCUGUGCUGGGCAGCAGCUUCCUGAGGGCUGUCCCUGACCAGCAAGGUGUGAGUUAUGGAGCUGCAGUUCCAUGCAUUGUAAAGGGAGAAAAUACAGAAUUAAGCUACAUUAUGUAUAUGGGAUGGAUCAGACAAGGAUGUGGCUGUAUGGACCUGUUUUUUCAGAACGUCCAGUGUGAAGGACUCCCAGUCAGUCCAUGGUACAUGGUGCACAUCAGAAUAAGGCACGGAAGGAUGCAGCUGUUUUGUAGGUGAGACAGUGGCAUAUCCACAGCCAAAACAGAUGUCACAGAAACACUUUUAUUGAAUACAAAUGGAGAUUUGACUUCUCUAUGGAGCACUGUGACUGCCCUUCCCGGACCAGUGCAGCACAUCGACUGACAGAGCUCCAUACAGUCUUUGUGCACCAAAGUAACAAGGCCAACUUCUCUGCUCCACUUGCCCUGGUACAACAAUAUUUGUGAAUGAAUAAACUGAUUUCAAUUUCAAAUGAACAAUCCAGAUGAGCAGGUGCUCAAAGCUGAAUCCAAAUGAAAUAAACAGUUUCCCUGAGAUCUGAACAAAUAGCAAAUUUAUGCAUAAAGUUAUGGCUGUGAACUGUGAUUUUGCCACUUUCAUUUGGGUGUUGAAGACAGCAGUCAAGCUUCCCCAACAUGUCACAAACUGUUAUUGACAACACUGAGAAACCUGGAUAUGUGCAAAGCUCUCUGGCAUGUAUGCUAUCAUAAAAUUUAAAGUCUGACUUAAAGACAAAGAACUGUUGGUUUAUAGGCAUUUCUAUUUGUAUUUGGCAUUUCAGAUAGUAUGACAGCUUGAUCCAAAGACCAUUAAAGCAAAAUGUUACACUUCAAUUGCUUUCACUGAGCAAUGGGACACAGGGUCCUUAGGGAGUUGGAUGCUGCACACACCAAGUAAGCCUGCACCAAAAAUUUAUGAUUCAGAUGUCUGACCCAUUAGUGCAUAAACACACUUCAUAAUCUUACAAACAUCCUACAGUUAGUUGUGUCUGAAAGCUGAAGAUACUAGCAGUGUUUGGAACCAGACGACAAAAUAGUAACCACUAUUCACAGAUUUUAUAAAUGUAAAUCAUUAAAUUUGGUCAUCCAAAACCCUCAAAUGAAAAAAAAAAAAAACUACUUUGAAUACUCUGAUCCUUCUGAUUUUGGUUUAUGGAAGACAUAGGACAAUUAUUUUGGACAUAAACAGUACACUGCAUUGCUUAAUAGAUCUCCAAAACUCCGUAUCCACAGUUUUGGAUUGAUAGUAAGACAGAUCAAGCAUCAAAGGGUAUGCAUGUUUGAAUGCACAAAGAAUUUCCUUUGCUAGUACCUUAUGGAGGUGGACUUAUCUGCACUUCUAUUUACAAGUUGCUCUGUUCAAAAGACUAAGAACUAUGGAAUGCAACAACAACAACAACAAAACCUCAAGAAAUUCUGUUAAAAAUUUGCAAACACUUUCGUGAUUUUGAUUUUGUUGUUUAUACCUCAGGCUGCAGAUGAUGUAUAUCGUUUAGUUGAUUAUCGUUUGCAAAGAAAUGUCACAUACAUUGUUGCCAUGUAAAGCAAAUUCAUUUUCUUUGUUUUCUUCUAUUUAUUGUUAUUGUUAUUUUUAAUAGACAUUCUUUCACUAUAAUGCUGCUUUGACAACUUGUUCCAAGGGACCUUAGUCAUCAGAAAACAAGUAGUUCUGAUUUUUCUUCACUGUUAGCUAGAUGUUUGUGGUUUUAAAUCCAAAGGCUCAUUACAUUCUCCCAGUUUUACAUUAUCUCCUCUCUCAGUAAAAUAUUUCACCCCAGAUGUACACACUGAAAACACACUGUGGCCAUUCUUGAACACUUAAAGAAGAACAGGAGAACAGGAGUUGUCUGGAUGAGGAGCUAAGACAUAUGGUUUAGUAGCUUGUAGCAAUGGUAAUGGGAGUAUGAUUGGACUAGAUGUUCUUGUAGGUCCUUUCCAACCUUGUGAUUCUAUAAUUCUAUGAUUCUAUGAGAGAUAUUUGAACUAUCAAUUAAUGAGAAGAAACCUCAGCUCUCCAGAAUGGUAUGAAUUUGCUCAUUGAUCACAGCAAACUACACUGUAAUAUUUAAGUAAUGUUUGUGGAAAGUACACAUCCUAUUGCACAGGUACGGUCUGUGAUACUUGCUUUUGGAUUCCAACCAUCAAAUGUUUAUUCAUGUCUCUGUCACUCUGAAGAUGAGUUAUUGUUCAGCUCUCCAUCUUGGUCCCUAUAAGCCACUGUGAAACUGCUGCUGGUGCAAGAAAUAUUUAAUAAAGACACAGUUUUGUACAAACUGGUGCUUUACUGGCUAAAUCUGUACACAAUAUUUUUGACCUCAAGUAAUUCAUAAUGUUGGAGAAGCCUGGAAAUUUAUGCCACACUCUUUUGAGGAACGGAAGGAAGUAUUCAGGUUCAAAACAAGUAAACAUAAUUUCUUAUAUGAUAUAUUUCAAUGACUCUAUUAUUGAAGUCCAAGAAGCCAUAAUUCACCACUGCUGUCAUGAGCAGGUUUCACUGAUUAUGCAAGAAUGCUAAAAAGCUGUUUUUCAUAUUAAUAGAAAGAGUAACUAUUGUACAGCUCACACAUUUGAAAACAGAGAUGUUGUCCGUCAAG